AACGCUGGCGGCAUGCCUUACACAUGCAAGUCGAACGGUAACAGGUCUUCGGAUGCUGACGAGUGGCGAACGGGUGAGUAAUACAUCGGAACGUGCCCGAUCGUGGGGGAUAACGGAGCGAAAGCUUUGCUAAUACCGCAUACGAUCUACGGAUGAAAGCAGGGGACCGCAAGGCCUUGCGCGGACGGAGCGGCCGAUGGCAGAUUAGGUAGUUGGUGGGAUAAAAGCUUACCAAGCCGACGAUCUGUAGCUGGUCUGAGAGGACGACCAGCCACACUGGGACUGAGACACGGCCCAGACUCCUACGGGAGGCAGCAGUGGGGAAUUUUGGACAAUGGGCGAAAGCCUGAUCCAGCCAUGCCGCGUGCAGGAUGAAGGCCUUCGGGUUGUAAACUGCUUUUGUACGGAACGAAAAGACUCCUUCUAAUAAAGGGGGUCCAUGACGGUACCGUAAGAAUAAGCACCGGCUAACUACGUGCCAGCAGCCGCGGUAAUACGUAGGGUGCAAGCGUUAAUCGGAAUUACUGGGC
Molecule: ribosomal RNA, 530 nt
Filed under: uncultured bacterium
Lineage: Bacteria
Description: bacterial SSU rRNA
Rfam family: Bacterial small subunit ribosomal RNA
Source: RNAcentral